This is a long non-coding RNA of Dermacentor silvarum, 601 nucleotides long. RefSeq lists it as uncharacterized. The transcript has 2 exons. The record is from RefSeq and is a predicted model, not a curated record. NCBI's taxonomy places the organism in Eukaryota, Metazoa, Arthropoda, Arachnida, Ixodida, Ixodidae.
GCAUAGAGAAAGAAAUUCAACAAGAGGGGACACUCGGCAAAAACUGGCAACAGGAAACACGUCACCAUACGUCACGCUAUACUUUUGACACCGAACGUUAGCUGCCGCGAGCAUCGAAAAAAAAGAAAGUGAACUUAAGUUAACAGGCAUUGAUUUAUUUUUUUAAUUCUUUGCCGCGAAAACUAAAACGUUUUGCGUAUAAAUGAACUUAAGCUUUGCGACUUAUUUUCCUUGCCUUACCUAGCCACAGGUCAAUGACGCGCCAGAUACAUGCGUCAUCCGCCAGACACUCCCCCGAAGCCAGCGAGGAUGGCUGCGCGCGCGUUUGAGCGCUCGCGCGCGGCGACCCGUCUGUCUCCUUCUUUUUUUCUUUUUUAAAUGUAACCUGGUUUAUUGGGCUCCCGGCGUAUUCUUGCGUUCCUUCUGCACUGGGACAAGACACCACUGCACUAUUGGACUACGGCAAGCUGGUGCCGUCCGGUGGAGCUUCAUACAGGAACUACUGCCUUACCUGCUGGUGUCACAACGUUGGAUGAACGCACAAAAAGCGCGGAACGAGCUUUUAUAUAGAGCAAAAUAAAUAUUUCCUCAUUGCACAAAA